This 384-nucleotide unclassified non-coding RNA is filed under the name uncultured Chloroflexota bacterium. RNAcentral's name for it is "uncultured Chloroflexi bacterium contains 16S-23S intergenic spacer region". The record is from RNAcentral. Lineage: Bacteria; Bacillati; Chloroflexota.
UCCGGUUUAUCACCGGCAGUCUCCACAGAGUCCUCGGCUUUACCCGUUAGUAACUGUGAACAAGGGUUGCGCUCGUUGCGGGACUUAACCCAACACCUCACGGCACGAGCUGACGACAGCCAUGCAGCAUCUGUGCUGGCUCUCGACUUUACGAGUGGUUCCCCUUUCGGGGUUCUACUUCCAGCAUGUCAAGCCUAGGUGAGGUUCUUCGCGUUGCAUCGAAUUAAACCACACGCUCCGCUGCUUGUGCGGGCCCCCGGCAAUUCCUUUGAGUUUUAGCCUUGCGGCCGUAGUCCCCAGGCGGAGCACUUAUCGCGUUAGCUGCGGCACCGGAGGGGUCGAUACCCCCGACACCUAGUGCUCAUCGUUUACGGCGUGGACUAC